CCCGCUGAACUUAAGCAUAUCAAUAAGCGGAGGAAAAGAAACCAACAGGGAUUGCCUCAGUAACGGCGAGUGAAGCGGCAACAGCUCAAAUUUGAAAUCUGGCUCUCUUAGGGCCCGAAUUGUAAUUUGUAGAGGAUGUUUCGGCGUUGGCUCCGGUCUAAGUUCCUUGGAACAGGACGUCACAGAGGGUGAGAAUCCCGUAUGUGAUCGGUUGCCUUUGCCAUGUGAAACUCCUUCGACGAGUCGAGUUGUUUGGGAAUGCAGCUCUAAAUGGGUGGUAAAUUCCAUCUAAAGCUAAAUAUUGGCGAGAGACCGAUAGCGAACAAGUACAGUGAUGGAAAGAUGAAAAGAACUUUGAAAAGAGAGUGAAAAAGUACGUGAAAUUGUUGAAAGGGAAGGGCUUGAAAUCAGACUUGGUAUUCAAUGAUCAAUUUUCUUUCGGGGAGAUGCACUCGUUGUUUACUGGGCCAACAUCGAUUUAGACGGUGAGAUAAUGACAGUUGAAUGUGGCUUGCUUCGGUAAGUGUUAUAGCUUCUGUUGAUAUCAUCAGUUUAGAUCGAGGACUGCGCAUUUUUGCUAGGAUGUUGGCGUAAUGAUUUUAAGCCACCCGUCUUGAAACACGG
RNAcentral lists this ribosomal RNA (624 nucleotides) under uncultured fungus. RNAcentral describes it as "eukaryotic LSU rRNA". It matches the Rfam family "Eukaryotic large subunit ribosomal RNA", at positions 24 to 664 of the family's 3401-position model. The record is from RNAcentral. Lineage: Eukaryota; Fungi.